This 328-nucleotide ribosomal RNA is filed under the name uncultured Ruminococcus sp. RNAcentral's name for it is "bacterial SSU rRNA". It matches the Rfam family "Bacterial small subunit ribosomal RNA", at positions 28 to 339 of the family's 1533-position model. Lineage: Bacteria; Bacillati; Bacillota; Clostridia; Eubacteriales; Oscillospiraceae. The record is from RNAcentral.
GAUGAACGCUGGCGGCGUGCUUAACACAUGCAAGUCGAACGAGGAAUAAUUGAUGAAGUUUUCGGAUGGAUUUAGUUAUUCCGAGUGGCGGACGGGUGAGUAACGCGUGGGUAACCUGCCCCAUACAGGGGGACAACAGAGGGAAACUUCUGCUAAUACCGCAUAAGUGGAUCGGAUGGCAUCGUCCGGUCCGGAAAGCUCCGGCGGUAUGGGAUGGGCCCGCGUUGGAUUAGGCAGUUGGCGGGGUAACGGCCCACCAAACCGACGAUCCAUAGCCGACCUGAGAGGGUGACCGGCCACAUUGGGACUGAGACACGGCCCAGACUCC